This 85-nucleotide transfer RNA is filed under the name Felis catus (domestic cat). It matches the Rfam family "tRNA". Rfam says of the family: Transfer RNA (tRNA) molecules are approximately 80 nucleotides in length. Their secondary structure includes four short double-helical elements and three loops (D, anti-codon, and T loops). Further hydrogen bonds mediate the characteristic L-shaped molecular structure. tRNAs have two regions of fundamental functional importance: the anti-codon, which is responsible for specific mRNA codon recognition, and the 3' end, to which the tRNAs corresponding amino acid is attached (by aminoacyl-tRNA synthetases). tRNAs cope with the degeneracy of the genetic code in two manners: having more than one tRNA (with a specific anti-codon) for a particular amino acid; and 'wobble' base-pairing, i.e. permitting non-standard base-pairing at the 3rd anti-codon position. The record is from Rfam by way of RNAcentral. Lineage: Eukaryota; Metazoa; Chordata; Mammalia; Carnivora; Felidae.
GCCUGGGUGGCUCAGUCUGUUAAGCGUACGACUUGAGCUCAGGUCAUGAUCUCGUGGUUUGUGGGUUCGAGCCCCGCAUCAGGCU